RNAcentral lists this transfer RNA (81 nucleotides) under Jimgerdemannia flammicorona. RNAcentral describes it as "Endogone flammicorona tRNA". It matches the Rfam family "tRNA". From Rfam's summary of the family: Transfer RNA (tRNA) molecules are approximately 80 nucleotides in length. Their secondary structure includes four short double-helical elements and three loops (D, anti-codon, and T loops). Further hydrogen bonds mediate the characteristic L-shaped molecular structure. tRNAs have two regions of fundamental functional importance: the anti-codon, which is responsible for specific mRNA codon recognition, and the 3' end, to which the tRNAs corresponding amino acid is attached (by aminoacyl-tRNA synthetases). tRNAs cope with the degeneracy of the genetic code in two manners: having more than one tRNA (with a specific anti-codon) for a particular amino acid; and 'wobble' base-pairing, i.e. permitting non-standard base-pairing at the 3rd anti-codon position. Lineage: Eukaryota; Fungi; Mucoromycota; Endogonomycetes; Endogonales; Endogonaceae. The record is from Rfam by way of RNAcentral.
UCUCGAGUAGUAUAGUGGUGAGUAUCCCCGCCUGUCAUGUGCAGAACGCGGGAGACCGGGGUUCAAUUCCCCGCUCGAGAG